Molecule: unclassified non-coding RNA, 353 nt
Filed under: soil metagenome
Description: partial contains 5.8S ribosomal RNA, internal transcribed spacer 2, and large subunit ribosomal RNA
Rfam family: 5.8S ribosomal RNA (bases 1-120)
Source: RNAcentral
GAUGAAGAACGUAGCGAAAUGCGAUAAGUAAUGUGAAUUGCAGAAUUCAGUGAAUCAUCGAAUCUUUGAACGCACAUUGCGCCCGCCAGUAUUCUGGCGGGCAUGCCUGUUCGAGCGUCAUUACAACCCUCAGGCCCCCGGGCCUGGCGUUGGGGAUCGGCGGAAGCCCCCUGCGGGCACAACGCCGUCCCCCAAAUACAGUGGCGGUCCCGCCGCAGCUUCCAUUGCGUAGUAGCUAACACCUCGCAACUGGAGAGCGGCGCGGCCACGCCGUAAAACACCCAACUUCUGAAUGUUGACCUCGAAUCAGGUAGGAAUACCCGCUGAACUUAAGCAUAUCAAUAAGCGGAAGA